Molecule: long non-coding RNA, 1152 nt
Organism: Harmonia axyridis
Lineage: Eukaryota; Metazoa; Arthropoda; Insecta; Coleoptera; Coccinellidae
Exons: 5
Source: RefSeq, a predicted model, not a curated record
CCGUAUCCGUAAUCUGUGCAUUUGCCUCUAUUUGGGUAUAUUCGAAUUUUUCAAGUGAAAAAGUGUUAAAGAGCAAUUUUUAUUGCUUAAUUCAUAAAAAUAUAUUGGUUAAUGAGGAAGAACAAAUUUUACCCAAAUUCCUAAAUUAUCUGAAAAAGUAAGCAGAAUUUGGCAGAUUGUUUCUAACGAAACUAAUCAUGGAUAUUUUUGAGUCAUUACUUUCAAAACCAACAGAGAAUAAUGAUGUGGCCUAUUGUUGAAGAAUAGGAGCAGGUAUUCAUACAAAUAUGGUGAUAGAGAGCUUGAAUAAAUAUCUUAAAUCUAAUAAAAUAGAAGGAAAAGAAGAUAAGAGUUGAAAAGCUAUCAGAUUUGUUGGAAGAAAUAGUUGAUGAGAAGAUGUGGAUGAAAAUUAUGAGAAAUGAAAGACCUAACUCCAACAACUAUCAACAAAAAAAUUCUGUAGAAUCUCAUAAAAAAGCAGAAACAAUGAAAGACUUAAUAGAGGAGGUCUGUAUAUGAUGAUAAAUAUUAGAAUACACAAUUUAUAUCAUAAUGUGAUCCAGAUUGUGGUUUAGGAUAUUGUAGUCAUUGUUAAAUAUGCUUGCACAAAUAUAAAUAAUCAAUUCUGUUUCAGAUGAUGACAACAAUUUAGAAAUUAAUGAGCGAUCAAUAAGUUAACCAUAAUGAAGAUGUUGGAUAUUUCAUAGAUGAAACCAUUUCUAGUUCACAAAAUUUCACAUCUAUAAACAAUGACACAGAAAAUGAUUUGCUGAAAUGUGUAAAACAAUUGAAGACUCUCAAUCCAUAAGGAGAGAGGAGAUUAUUUGCAACUAUCAAUGGAAAAUUUUCCAAACAUAAGGUCAAUGCCAAGAAGAACUAACAUCUAAGAAGUGAAAAUUGAGAAGCAAAUCUAUUUCCAAAGAAAAAAAUGAAUACAGAGACUACCAGAACUUCAUAGCAAAUAAUUUAGAACAUUGAGAUGAGAUUGACAAAAAAUAGAGGUAACAAAUUCUACCUGAACCAGCAUGUUACACAUAUAAGAGACGUACAAUGUUCAAAUGUGGAUAGAAGAACCAGUCAAUAUCAAAAUAAAAUAUGAUAUACAUCCUUUACAUAAAUUAAUGAAAUUAAUUAUAAUUAAUAUAUUAUAUA